Molecule: ribosomal RNA, 468 nt
Filed under: uncultured bacterium
Lineage: Bacteria
Description: partial 16S ribosomal RNA
Rfam family: Bacterial small subunit ribosomal RNA
Source: RNAcentral
GACGAACGCUGGCGGCGUGCUUAACACAUGCAAGUCGAACGGAAAGGCCCUGCUUUUGUGGGGUGCUCGAGUGGCGAACGGGUGAGUAACACGUGAGUAACCUGCCCUUGACUUUGGGAUAACUUCAGGAAACUGGGGCUAAUACCGGAUAGGAGCUCCUGCUGCAUGUUGGGGGUUGGAAAGUUUCGGCGGUUGGGGAUGGACUCGCGGCUUAUCAGCUUGUUGGUGGGGUAGUGGCUUACCAAGGCUUUGACGGGUAGCCGGCCUGAGAGGGUGACCGGCCACAUUGGGACUGAGAUACGGACCAGACUCCUACGGGAGGCAGCAGUGGGGAAUAUUGCACAAUGGGCGGAAGCCUGAUGCAGCAACGCCGCGUGCGGGAUGACGGCCUUCGGGUUGUAAACCGCUUUCGCAUGUGACGAAGCGUGAGUGACGGUAAUGGGUAAAGAAGCACCGGCUAACUACGUG